AAAAGAAGGCGGCGCUGAGAAACAACAAUAAUAACACAGUGCAUUAACAUAACUUGCAUAUUGAUGGUGCAGGUAACGAAGAGAAAACAAAACAAAACAAAUUUAAUUAUCGGCGCAUUAAAGAAGAGACGAGGCUAAAAUGAUGAAAAAGACAUGAGAUUCAGAUGCAACUUGGAUUGAAAUUAAGGUUUUUAGACGAAUGUGAGUAGAUUAAAGAGAAUGGAGUUUUUGAAAAUAUUCUUUUGACAUUUUUUGUUUUCGUAAAUUGAACUAAAAAGACUGCACUUACAG
RNAcentral lists this long non-coding RNA (291 nucleotides) under Ricinus communis (castor bean). RNAcentral describes it as "long non-coding RNA (RCOM_LNC000478)". The record is from RNAcentral. Lineage: Eukaryota; Viridiplantae; Streptophyta; Magnoliopsida; Malpighiales; Euphorbiaceae.